RNAcentral lists this ribosomal RNA (468 nucleotides) under uncultured bacterium. RNAcentral describes it as "partial 16S ribosomal RNA". It matches the Rfam family "Bacterial small subunit ribosomal RNA", at positions 28 to 507 of the family's 1533-position model. The record is from RNAcentral.
GACGAACGCUGGCGGCGUGCUUAACACAUGCAAGUCGAACGGAAAGGCCCUGCUUUUGUGGGGUGCUCGAGUGGCGAACGGGUGAGUAACACGUGAGUAACCUGCCCUUGACUUUGGGAUAACUUCAGGAAACUGGGGCUAAUACCGGAUAGGAGCUCCUGCUGCAUGGUGGGGGUUGGAAAGUUUCGGCGGUUGGGGAUGGACUCGCGGCUUAUCAGCUUGUUGGUGGGGUAGUGGCUUACCAAGGCUUUGACGGGUAGCCGGCCUGAGAGGGUGACCGGCCAAAUUGGGACUGAGAUACGGCCCAGACUCCUACGGGAGGCAGCAGUGGGGAAUAUUGCACAAUGGGCGGAAGCCUGAUGCAGCGACGCCGCGUGCGGGAUGACGGCCUUCGGGUUGUAAACCGCUUUCGCCUGUGACGAAGCGUGAGUGACGGUAAUGGGUAAAGAAGCACCGGCUAACUACGUG